Molecule: long non-coding RNA, 2307 nt
Organism: Cynoglossus semilaevis (tongue sole)
Lineage: Eukaryota; Metazoa; Chordata; Actinopteri; Pleuronectiformes; Cynoglossidae
Exons: 3
Source: RefSeq, a predicted model, not a curated record
GUAGGUUUUUUUUUUUCUUUUGGAGACGUUUCACAUCUCAUCCAAGAGGCUUCUUCAGUUCUGACUGACCACUGGGAAAUUCUGGUAUUUAGUCUUCAGGCUGCUGUAACAAGGGUCAUUGCAGAAAGGGGGAUUGGAGGUGUUAGAUCUCAGUUAGCCUCCCCUAGCUCAACCCUGAGCCCCUUCCCUAGCCUUUCCCAUAGCCCCUCCCCUAGCUAGUCGCUUAGCCACUCCCCCAACUUGUCACUUAGCCCCUCCCCCUCACCCAGGUGUAGGAUAUAAGGCCUCCAAAUGGCUCAGUUCUCUCUUUGACUGCUUCUUGGUGUGGUUCUCUGUGUUGGUUCUGGUAGGUCAUGUGCUGGUUUCUCUGUUUUGUCCUGUUCUUUUCUUUCUUAGAUUUGCCCCGUUCCCUCCAUUUUCUGUGUGUUUCAACCAGCUUUUGUUUGGCCUAAUUAACUUCUUUGGUUAGGGUUAAGCUAAAGCUAACCCUGUUUUCAUUCCUAUCUUUGUGUUUGUUUGUUGAUUUGUGGUGUUGUAAAUUAUUAACUGGGUUGUUGGUUUUGUUAAUUUUGUGCUCUUUUUUGUGUUCCUAUUUUUUUUUAUUCUGGCCUGGGGGUUGUCAAGUGGCAGGCUAGGGCCUGUGGUUGGGACCCCACUCCUAACCCUAAUGCCCUACAGGCCUGAGCUGAAGCCUAUUAGCUGUUAGCUGCUUUGGUUUUGGUCAAAUUCUUUUAUCUAGUGAAGUAGGCCACUCAGCACCUCAUGUGGAAGAGCUGGCUCAGGUGCAUCUAGUUAGUGGUGUGCUGAUGGCAGUGCUGCCCCUACAGGCCUGAGCUAAAGCCUGUUAGCGGCUAUAGUUUUGUUUGUCUGCUUUUAGUUGGGUCAUUGAAGUGACCCCGUAUUUUUUUAGGUUUUGGUCAAAUGCUUCCAUCUAGUGGACAAAUUUUAACCCGUAUUCAAGCAGCCUGAACAGAUGAUUUCAAUAAAGUCACGUUUUACUUUCGGCUACUUUUAUAUUUUAAUUCUAUUUCAUGAAAGUCAUAGUAAAGUAAGUCCUUAUUGUGAUUUUAGACAUCCCAGAAUAAGAUUCUAUUUUUAGUUCUUGGUGUAGUGAAGAUUGUACAUAGAUCUGUUAGUCUGUGUAGGUUCUCAGUCCAAUUGGCUUCAAAUUCGUUAUACCCCUGUGUUACAAUGACAAAGGCUAUUCUAUUCUAUUCAUCCAGGUAAUUUAAUACAAAAAAUAGUUACAUCGAAAAGCAACUGGACAAAGUAGGGUUUUUUUUUUCUUUUGGAGACGUUUCACAUCUCAUCCAAGAGGCUUCUUCAGUUCUGACUGACCACUGGGAAAUUCUGGUAUUUAGUCUUCAGGCUGCUGUAACAAGGGUCAUUGCAGAAAGGGGGAUUGGAGGUGUUAGAUCUCAGUUAGCCUCCCCUAGCUCAACCCUGAGCCCCUUCCCUAGCCUUUCCCAUAGCCCCUCCCCUAGCUAGUCGCUUAGCCACUCCCCCAACUUGUCACUUAGCCCCUCCCCCUCACCCAGGUGUAGGAUAUAAGGCCUCCAAAUGGCUCAGUUCUCUCUUUGACUGCUUCUUGGUGUGGUUCUCUGUGUUGGUUCUGAUUCUAUCCUGCCUGUGGCCUCUACCUUGUUCUCAAGUUAUUCUGGAGGUUGGACGUUCUGGAUGUCUUCCUCCAGCAAUUCUUUCUCUAUGAUUUGAGACAACUUGAAGUGGGACCUAUCUGCAGUAGUGUACCUGGAGAUGACCAGUGUUUGGACCAUCACCACUCUACACCUUCAGUCCAGGGUGGACCAGGGUUUGAUUUUGUACUUUUAGUUCUUUAUGGUUUGGUCUAAGAGGUUUAGGAGUGUUGACUGAAAUCAACCAUUUGAUUGUUAAUACCUUCUCCCCCCUUCACUCCCAUUGUCAUAAGUAUGCUUUCUAUCAAUUAGGGUUUAAACCAAAAAGAGUCAUAACCUUGAGGUUCAACUGUCUGUCCAGUUUAGAGUAACCUUACGGUGUCAACAACAUUUCUAUGCUGGACAGGUGGUAACGUACAAGUUCAACUCAUUAUGCUUUACACCUUAAGUUGUUAUUCUCCAGGUCCUCUUGGAGAAUAUUUGUAUUGCUCUAUGUCUCCCUAACUCCACCCCUUCCUUCCAGAAACAGACGCCAACAGUCUAGAUAUUCUGAGGAUUUCUUCCUGUUUUUGACUGAUGGUUCUUAUGUUAAUAGAUUUUAUUACAUUUUAUCUUUUGGUAUUUUACAUAAAUUGACUAGUAAUUGGGUUUUUUUUUUUUUUUCAUUUGUGUG